This 604-nucleotide ribosomal RNA is filed under the name uncultured organism. Its description in RNAcentral is "bacterial SSU rRNA". It matches the Rfam family "Bacterial small subunit ribosomal RNA", at positions 812 to 1429 of the family's 1533-position model. The record is from RNAcentral.
UACACUAGACGUUCGUUCAGCUUCGGUUGUGUGAGUGUCGAAGCCAACGCGCUAAGCGUACCGCCUGGGGAGUACGGUCGCAAGGCUUAAACUCAAAGGAAUUGACGGGGGCCCGCACAAGCAGCGGAGCGUGUGGUUUAAUUCGAGGCUACGCGAUUAACCUUACCUGGGUUUGACAUCAAUGCGAACAAAAGCGAAAGCUGGCGGUCCUUCGGGCGCAUUGACAGGUGCUGCAUGGCUGUCGUCAGCUCGUGUCGUGAGAUGUUCGGUUAAGUCCGAAAACGAGCGCAACCCCUAGGUUUAGUUACAAGUGUCUAGACCGACUGCCUGCAGCAAGCAGGAGGAAGGUGGGGAUGACGUCAAGUCAGCAUGGCCUUUAUGUCCAGGGCUACACACACGCUACAAUGGCGCGUACAAUGGGUCGCGAACCCGCGAGGGGGAGCCAAUCCUACAAAGCGCGUCGUAGUUCGGAUUGUAGGCUGCAACUCGCCUGCAUGAAGUCGGAGUUGCUAGUAACCGCAGAUCAGCACGCUGCGGUGAAUACGUUCCCGGGCCUUGUACACACCGCCCGUCACGUCAUGGAAGUUGGUCACGCCUGAAGUCG